This is a long non-coding RNA of Mesocricetus auratus (golden hamster), 839 nucleotides long. RefSeq lists it as uncharacterized. Lineage: Eukaryota; Metazoa; Chordata; Mammalia; Rodentia; Cricetidae. The transcript is spliced from 3 exons. The record is from RefSeq and is a predicted model, not a curated record.
GACAGGAUGCAUUAAGACUACAGCUUGAGAAUUCAAAUACUUUGCUGACAGGCCAAGACCAUGGAUUCUAAGGAACUUUGACAACAAGAUAAUUCCAGAUGCCCAGGUGGAGAAGUGCCUGAGAGAGGUGAGCAGGUCAUUGUGCUAUCAUUAAUCACUUGCAGACAGCAGGCCCUAUAGUUCUUCCAACCCUGCCCUGUGUUGCCCUGCCAUGAUCUACAGCAUCUCACUGAAACAAGCUGUGAUCUGCCUUUCCCAAGAGUGAAAGCACAAUGCAAGGGAUUAAAUGCCAGUGUUAACAAUCAAACUCAGUAAGGAGAAUGACGCACAAGACAAGGGAGACAGCGACCUUCAAGGUUUCAAAGGUGCUGGCAAAGCCUCAUGGAGGAUUGAAAAGCAUGAAGCCAGGACCAUGCCACCUGAUGGAUGACCUCACUGCUGCUGCUUCUACAUCCACAAUAAGUCUGAGUUUCCUUGACAGCUGAGUAGUAAUGAGGACUACACAAGUGAAGCUUUGAGAUCUGUGCUUGGUGGGUUACUGUUUCCGCAUCAUAUGUGAACUCCACAUAUUGUUUUCAACUCAGGAAAACCCAACUUCCAGGACUUAAAGUUACCUAGGAAAACAGAACAGUCUGUGUGUUAACCCCAGACUCCCUGGACUCACCUCCUGGUCCUUCUUAGGACCUGUCUGUGGCCAGCACUGGAAUGACAGGGAAUCCUGGAGCAUAUUUUGGAGAUGACUUUACAGAUGUGGUGUCAGGUUUACCUAAUGCUUUUAUAAAAGGUGACUCAACAUUUGCCUUAUGACCAAAAUAAAGUAAUCAUGACUUGUAUUCUAA